This 1232-nucleotide ribosomal RNA is filed under the name metagenome. Its description in RNAcentral is "bacterial SSU rRNA". It matches the Rfam family "Bacterial small subunit ribosomal RNA", at positions 242 to 1499 of the family's 1533-position model. The record is from RNAcentral.
UAGCUAGUUGGUGAGGUAACGGCCCACCAAGGCGACGAUCGGUAGCCGGACUGAGAGGUUGAACGGCCACAUUGGGACUGAGACACGGCCCAGACUCCUACGGGAGGCAGCAGUGGGGAAUAUUGCACAAUGGGGGAAACCCUGAUGCAGCGACGCCGCGUGGAGGAAGAAGGUCUUCGGAUUGUAAACUCCUGUUGUUGAGGAAGAUAAUGACGGUACUCAACAAGGAAGUGACGGCUAACUACGUGCCAGCAGCCGCGGUAAAACGUAGGUCACAAGCGUUGUCCGGAAUUACUGGGUGUAAAGGGAGCGCAGGCGGGAGAACAAGUUGGAAGUGAAAUCCAUGGGCUCAACCCAUGAACUGCUUUCAAAACUGUUUUUCUUGAGUAGUGCAGAGGUAGGCGGAAUUCCCGGUGUAGCGGUGGAAUGCGUAGAUAUCGGGAGGAACACCAGUGGCGAAGGCGGCCUACUGGGCACCAACUGACGCUGAGGCUCGAAAGUGUGGGUAGCAAACAGGAUUAGAUACCCUGGUAGUCCACACCGUAAACGAUGAUUACUAGGUGUUGGAGGAUUGACCCCUUCAGUGCCGCAGUUAACACAAUAAGUAAUCCACCUGGGGAGUACGACCGCAAGGUUGAAACUCAAAGGAAUUGACGGGGGCCCGCACAAGCAGUGGAGUAUGUGGUUUAAUUCGACGCAGCGCGAAGAACCUUACCAAGUCUUGACAUCCCUUGACGAUGCUGGAAACAGUAUUUCUCUUCGGAGCAAGGAGACAGGUGGUGCAUGGUUGUCGUCAGCUCGUGUCGUGAGAUGUUGGGUUAAGUCCCACAACGAGCGCAACCCUUAUGGUCAGUUACUACGCAAGAGGACUCUGGCCAGACUGCCGUUGACAAAGCGGAGGAAGGUGGGGAUGACGUCAAAUCAUCAUGCCCUUUAUGACUUGGGCUACACACGUACUACAAUGGCGUUAAACAAAGAGAAGCAAGACCGCGAGGUGGAGCAAAACUCAGAAACAACGUCCCAGUUCGGACUGCAGGCUGCAACUCGCCUGCACGAAGUCGGAAUUGCUAGUAAUCGUGGAUCAGCAUGCCACGGUGAAUACGUUCCCGGGCCUUGUACACACCGCCCGUCACACCAUGAGAGCCGGGGGGACCCGAAGUCGGUAGUCUAACCGUAAGGAGGACGCCGCCGAAGGUAAAACUGGUGAUUGGGGUGAAGUCGUAACAAGGUAG